UGAGGAAUAUUGGUCAAUGGGCGCAAGCCUGAACCAGCCAUGCCGCGUGAAGGAUGACUGCCCUAUGGGUUGUAAACUUCUUUUUUACGGGAAGAAACCCCUGUUCGUGAGCAGGGUUGACGGUACCGUAUGAAUAAGGAUCGGCUAACUCCGUGCCAGCAGCCGCGGUAAUACGGAGGAUCCAAGCGUUAUCCGGAUUUAUUGGGUUUAAAGGGUGCGUAGGCGGACUUAUAAGUCAGUGGUGAAAUCCUGCAGCUUAACUGCGGAACUGCCAUUGAUACUGUCGGUCUUGAGUACAGUUGGAGUAGGCGGAAUGUGUCAUGUAGCGGUGAAAUGCUUAGAUAUGACACAGAACACCGAUCGCGAAGGCAGCUUACUAAACUGUAACUGACGCUGAGGCACGAAAGCGUGGGGAUCAAACAGG
RNAcentral lists this ribosomal RNA (424 nucleotides) under uncultured bacterium. Its description in RNAcentral is "bacterial SSU rRNA". It matches the Rfam family "Bacterial small subunit ribosomal RNA", at positions 355 to 776 of the family's 1533-position model. The record is from RNAcentral.